This 1008-nucleotide ribosomal RNA is filed under the name Mycobacterium sp. Its description in RNAcentral is "bacterial SSU rRNA". It matches the Rfam family "Bacterial small subunit ribosomal RNA", at positions 417 to 1425 of the family's 1533-position model. The record is from RNAcentral. Lineage: Bacteria; Bacillati; Actinomycetota; Actinomycetes; Mycobacteriales; Mycobacteriaceae.
UCGGGGUUGUAAACCUUUUUCCAGCACAAGCCGGAGGCGCCAAGUGACGGGUAUGUGCAAGAAGAAGGACCCGGCCAAAUUACGUGCCCAGCAGCCGCGGGUAAUACGUAGGGUCCGAGCGUUGUCCGGAAUUACUGGGCGUAAAGAGCUCGUAGGUGGUUUGUCGCGUUGUUCGUGAAAACUCACAGCUCAACUGUGGGCGUGCGGGCGAUACGGGCAGACUAGAGUACUGCAGGGGAGACUGGAAUUCCUGGUGUAGCGGUGGAAUGCGCAGAUAUCAGGAGGAACACCGGUGGCGAAGGCGGGUCUCUGGGCAGUAACUGACGCUGAGGAGCGAAAGCGUGGGGAGCGAACAGGAUUAGAUACCCUGGUAGUCCACGCCGUAAACGGUGGGUACUAGGUGUGGGUUUCCUUCCUUGGGAUCCGUGCCGUAGCUAACGCAUUAAGUACCCCGCCUGGGGAGUACGGCCGCAAGGCUAAAACUCAAAGAAAUUGACGGGGGCCCGCACAAGCGGCGGAGCAUGUGGAUUAAUUCGAUGCAACGCGAAGAACCUUACCUGGGUUUGACAUGCACAGGACGUGCCUAGAGAUAGGUAUUCCCUUGUGGCCUGUGUGCAGGUGGUGCAUGGCUGUCGUCAGCUCGUGUCGUGAGAUGUUGGGUUAAGUCCCGCAACGAGCGCAACCCUCGUCCUAUGUUGCCAGCGGGUUAUGCCGGGGACUCGUAGGAGACUGCCGGGGUCAACUCGGAGGAAGGUGGGGAUGACGUCAAGUCAUCAUGCCCCUUAUGUCCAGGGCUUCACACAUGCUACAAUGGCCGGUACAAAGGGCUGCGAUGCCGUGAGGUGGAGCGAAUCCUUUCAAAGCCGGUCUCAGUUCGGAUCGGGGUCUGCAACUCGACCCCGUGAAGUCGGAGUCGCUAGUAAUCGCAGAUCAGCAACGCUGCGGUGAAUACGUUCCCGGGCCUUGUACACACCGCCCGUCACGUCAUGAAAGUCGGUAACACCCGAA